ACUAAGCAUAGAUGUAAUCACGAGUCAACGGGUGAGUAAACCCGUAAGGCGUAAGGAAGCUGAUUGGUGGGAUCCCCUUGUGGGUUGCAUCGCCGAUCGACCCUGAUCUUCUGUAAAGGGUUCGAGUGAGAGCAUACCUAUCGGGACCCGAAAGAUGGGGAACUAUGCCUAAGCGGGGCGAAGCCAGAGGAAACUCUGGUGGAGGCCCGCAACGAUACUAACGUGCAAAUCGUUCGUUUGACUUGGGUAUAGGGGCAAAAGACUAAUCGAAGCGUCUAGUAGUUGGUUCCCUCCGAAGUUUCCCUCAAGAUAGCUAGAGCCCGCGGGCGAGUUCUAUCCGGUAAAGCCAAUGAUCAGAGGCAUCGAGGGCGUAACGCCCUCGAUCUAUUCUCAAACUUUAAAUAGGUAGGACGGUGUGAAUGCUCUGUUGAGCCGUGCCACAUAAUCUAGAGCUCCAAGUGGGCCAUUUUUGGUAAGCAGAACUGGCGAUACGAGAUGACCAGAAGCUGGGUUACGGUGCCCAACUGCGCGCUAACCUAGCCCUACAAAGGGUGUUGGUUGAUUAAGACAAUAGGAUGGUGGUUAUGGAAGUCAAAAUCCGCUAAGGAGUGUGUAACAACUCACCUACCCAAUCAACUAGCCCCAAAAAUGGAUGGCGCUAAAGCGAUAGACCUAUACCCCACCGUCGGGGCAAGGACCAAGCCCCGAUGAGUAGGACGACGCGACGGUCGCUGUAAAACCCAAGGCGUGAGCUCGGGCGGAGCGGUCGUCGCUGCAGAUCUUGGUGGUAGUAGCAAAA
Molecule: non-coding RNA, 799 nt
Filed under: Vigna angularis (adzuki bean)
Lineage: Eukaryota; Viridiplantae; Streptophyta; Magnoliopsida; Fabales; Fabaceae
Also listed under: 1 other name
Description: rRNA LSU_rRNA_eukarya
Rfam family: Eukaryotic large subunit ribosomal RNA
Source: Rfam by way of RNAcentral